ACGAACGCUGGCGGCGUGCUUAACACCUGCAAGUCGAACGGAAAGGCCCUGCUUGCAGGGUACUCGAGUGGCGAACGGGUGAGUAACACGUGGGUGAUCUGCCCUGCACUUCGGGAUAAGCUUGGGAAACUGGGUCUAAUACCGGAUAGGAGCCAUCUUUAGUGUGGUGGUUGGAAAGUUUUUUCGGUGUAGGAUGAGCUCGCGGCCUAUCAGCUUGUUGGUGGGGUAAUGGCCUACCAAGGCGGCGACGGGUAGCCGGCCUGAGAGGGUGUACGGCCACAUUGGGACUGAGAUACGGCCCAGACUCCUACGGGAGGCAGCAAUGGGUAAUAUUGCACAAUGGGCGCAAGCCUGAUGCAGCGACGCCGCGUGGGGGAUGAAGGCCUUCGGGUUGUAAACUCCUUUCGCUAGGGACGAAGCUUUUUUGUGACGGUACCUAGAUAAGAAGCACCGGCUAACUACGUG
This 465-nucleotide ribosomal RNA is filed under the name uncultured bacterium. RNAcentral's name for it is "partial 16S ribosomal RNA". It matches the Rfam family "Bacterial small subunit ribosomal RNA", at positions 29 to 507 of the family's 1533-position model. The record is from RNAcentral.